Molecule: ribosomal RNA, 600 nt
Filed under: uncultured Gammaproteobacteria bacterium
Lineage: Bacteria; Pseudomonadati; Pseudomonadota; Gammaproteobacteria
Description: bacterial SSU rRNA
Rfam family: Bacterial small subunit ribosomal RNA
Source: RNAcentral
CAUGCAAGUCGAGCGGUAACAGACAUUUUGAUUUUGCUUGCAAAAUCUCGUGCUGACGAGCGGCGAACGGGUGAGUAACGCGUGGGAAUCUACCUAGUAGAAGGGGAUAGCCCGAGGAAACUCGGAUUAAUACCGUAUACGUCCUUAGGGAGAAAGAGGGCUUAGCUUUGAUGCUCUCGCUAUUAGAUGAGCCUGCGUAAGAUUAGCUUGUUGGUGAGGUAAAGGCUCACCAAGGCGACGAUCUUUAGCUGGUCUGAGAGGACGAUCAGCCACAUUGGGACUGAGACACGGCCCAGACUCCUACGGGAGGCAGCAGUGGGGAAUAUUGGACAAUGGGCGCAAGCCUGAUCCAGCCAUACCGCGUGUGUGAAGAAGGCCUUCGGGUUGUAAAGCACUUUAAGUAAGGAAGAAAAGAAUAUUGUUAAUACCAAUACUCCGUGACAUUACUUACAGAAUAAGGACCGGCUAAUUCCGUGCCAGCAGCCGCGGUAAUACGGAAGGUCCAAGCGUUAAUCGGAAUUACUGGGCGUAAAGCGCGCGUAGGUGGUUUAUUAAGUUGGGUGUGAAAGCCCCGGGCUCAACCUGGGAACUGCAUUCAAA